This 70-nucleotide transfer RNA is filed under the name Marmota monax (woodchuck). RNAcentral describes it as "tRNA.SeC". It matches the Rfam family "tRNA". From Rfam's summary of the family: Transfer RNA (tRNA) molecules are approximately 80 nucleotides in length. Their secondary structure includes four short double-helical elements and three loops (D, anti-codon, and T loops). Lineage: Eukaryota; Metazoa; Chordata; Mammalia; Rodentia; Sciuridae. The record is from RNAcentral.
AGGAAUGUAGCUCAAUGGUAGAGCAUUUGCCUCAUGCAGAAAGACCUGGGUUCAAUCCCCAAAAUUAAAA